UCUAUCUAUCUAUCUAUCUAUCUAUCUAUCUAUCUAUCUAUCUAUCUAUCUAUCUAUCUAUCUAUCUAUCUAUCUAUCUAUCUAUCUAUCUAUCUAUCUAUCUAUCUAUCUAUCUAUCUAUCUAUCUAUCUAUCUAUCUAUCUAUCUAUCUGUUAGUUUGUUUUGUUUUAAAGGAAAAAUAUUAUGUCCCACGUCGUAGUUUCUUUGUCUCAAAGUUUCUGUUUUAAACUUGACAGUAGUUUUAUAAAGUCAUUAUGUCGCAAACCCAUUGUACUUUAUAGAAACAAAAUGUGCCACCAAGAGCACAUCAACGAACCAGGAUCCGCCAUGUAUUGCCCAGGAGAUUAGACCGCAUCAAGCUCAGCCAGGAACACUAACUAAUAUAAAAAAAACAAAAUGUGCCACCAAGAGCACAUCAACGAACCAGGAUCCGCCAUGUAUUGCCCAGGAGAUUAGACCGCAUCAAUCUCAGCCAGGAACACUAACUAAUAUAAAAAAAACAAAAUGUGCCACCAAGAGCACAUCAACGAACCAGGAUCCGCCAUGUAUUGCCCAGGAGAUUAGACCGCAUCA
Long non-coding RNA from Biomphalaria glabrata, 573 nucleotides. RefSeq lists it as uncharacterized. The record is from RefSeq and is a predicted model, not a curated record. The transcript is spliced from 3 exons. Lineage: Eukaryota; Metazoa; Mollusca; Gastropoda; Planorbidae.